ACAUCGACAGCUCAGUGACAGAGCGGUGGGGCGUUGAUCCAUGCGGCCAGGGUUCGAGUCCCGGUCGAUGCA
This is a non-coding RNA of Phthorimaea operculella (potato tuberworm), 72 nucleotides long. The record is from the annotation of a GenBank genome assembly. Lineage: Eukaryota; Metazoa; Arthropoda; Insecta; Lepidoptera; Gelechiidae.